RNAcentral lists this ribosomal RNA (639 nucleotides) under uncultured Actinomycetes bacterium. RNAcentral's name for it is "bacterial SSU rRNA". It matches the Rfam family "Bacterial small subunit ribosomal RNA", at positions 232 to 885 of the family's 1533-position model. The record is from RNAcentral. Lineage: Bacteria; Bacillati; Actinomycetota; Actinomycetes.
CGCGGCCUAUCAGCUUGUUGGUGAGGUAACGGCUCACCAAGGCAUCGACGGGUAGCUGGUCUGAGAGGACGAUCAGCCACACUGGGACUGAGACACGGCCCAGACUCCUACGGGAGGCAGCAGUAGGGAAUCUUGCGCAAUGGGCGAAAGCCUGACGCAGCAACGCCGCGUGGGGGAUGAAUGCCUUCGGGUUGUAAACCCCUUUCAGCAGGGACGAAAAUGACGGCACCUGCAGAAGAAGCUCCGGCCAACUACGUGCCAGCAGCCGCGGUAAUACGUAGGGAGCGAGCGUUGUCCGGAAUUAUUGGGCGUAAAGAGCUCGUAGGCGGUUCAGUAAGUCGGGUGUGAAAACUCAAGGCUCAAUCUUGAGACGCCACUCGAUACUGCUGUGACUUGAGUCCGGUAGAGGAGUGUGGAAUUCCUGGUGUAGCGGUGAAAUGCGCAGAUAUCAGGAGGAACACCAGCGGCGAAGGCGGCACUCUGGGCCGGUACUGACGCUGAGGAGCGAAAGCAUGGGGAGCAAACAGGAUUAGAUACCCUGGUAGUCCAUGCCGUAAACGUUGGGCACUAGGUAUGGGAUCAUAUCAACGGAUUCCGUGCCGUAGCUAACGCAUUAAGUGCCCCGCCUGGGGAGUACGG